CGGGUGAGUAAUGCCUAGGAAUCUGCCUGGUAGUGGGGGAUAACGUUCGGAAACGGACGCUAAUACCGCAUACGUCCUACGGGAGAAAGCAGGGGACCUUCGGGCCUUGCGCUAUCAGAUGAGCCUAGGUCGGAUUAGCUAGUUGGUGGGGUAAUGGCUCACCAAGGCGACGAUCCGUAACUGGUCUGAGAGGAUGAUCAGUCACACUGGAACUGAGACACGGUCCAGACUCCUACGGGAGGCAGCAGUGGGGAAUAUUGGACAAUGGGCGAAAGCCUGAUCCAGCCAUGCCGCGUGUGUGAAGAAGGUCUUCGGAUUGUAAAGCACUUUAAGUUGGGAGGAAGGGUUGUAGAUUAAUACUCUGCAAUUUUGACGUUACCGACAGAAUAAGCACCGGCUAACUCUGUGCCAGCAGCCGCGGUAAUACAGAGGGUGCAAGCGUUAAUCGGAAUUACUGGGCGUAAAGCGCGC
Molecule: ribosomal RNA, 471 nt
Filed under: Pseudomonas sp.
Lineage: Bacteria; Pseudomonadati; Pseudomonadota; Gammaproteobacteria; Pseudomonadales; Pseudomonadaceae
Description: bacterial SSU rRNA
Rfam family: Bacterial small subunit ribosomal RNA
Source: RNAcentral